This 253-nucleotide ribosomal RNA is filed under the name uncultured prokaryote. Its description in RNAcentral is "partial 16S ribosomal RNA". It matches the Rfam family "Bacterial small subunit ribosomal RNA", at positions 524 to 776 of the family's 1533-position model. The record is from RNAcentral.
UACGGAGGGAGCUAGCGUUGUUCGGAAUUACUGGGCGUAAAGCGCAUGUAGGCGGCGAUUCAAGUCGGGGGUGAAAUCCUGGAGCUCAACUCCAGAACUGCCUUCGAUACUGCAUUGCUGGAGUAUGGAAGAGGUAGGUGGAACUGCGAGUGUAGAGGUGAAAUUCGUAGAUAUUCGCAAGAACACCAGUGGCGAAGGCGGCCUACUGGUCCAUCACUGACGCUGAGAUGCGAAAGCGUGGGGAGCAAACAGG